RNAcentral lists this ribosomal RNA (520 nucleotides) under uncultured Glomus. RNAcentral describes it as "SSU rRNA". It matches the Rfam family "Eukaryotic small subunit ribosomal RNA", at positions 569 to 1090 of the family's 1831-position model. Lineage: Eukaryota; Fungi; Glomeromycota; Glomeromycetes; Glomerales; Glomeraceae. The record is from RNAcentral.
AGCAGCCGCGGUAAUUCCAGCUCCAAUAGCGUAUAUUAAAGUUGUUGCAGUUAAAAAGCUCGUAGUUGAAUUUCGGGGCCAGUAGGUUGGUCGUGCCACUGGUAUGUACUGGCCUUACUGGUCCCUCCUUCUUGUAGAACCGUGAUGCCAUUAAUUUGGUGUUGCGGGGAAACAGGACUGUUACUUUGAAAAAAUUAGAGUGCUUAAAGCAGGCUCGCGCUUGAAUACAUUAGCAUGGAAUAACGGAAUAGGACGAUCGAACCUAUUUUGUUGGUUUCUAGGAUCGACGUAAUGAUUAAUAGGGAUAGUUGGGGGCAUUAGUAUUCAAUUGUCAGAGGUGAAAUUCUUGGAUUUAUUGAAGACUAACUACUGCGAAAGCAUUUGCCAAGGAUGUUUUCAUUAAUCAAGAACGAAAGUUAGGGGAUCGAAGACGAUCAGAUACCGUCGUAGUCUUAACCAUAAACUAUGCCGACUAGGGAUCGGAUGAUGUUAAUUUUUAAUGUACUCAUUCGGCGCCUUA